Molecule: ribosomal RNA, 253 nt
Filed under: uncultured bacterium
Lineage: Bacteria
Description: partial 16S ribosomal RNA
Rfam family: Bacterial small subunit ribosomal RNA
Source: RNAcentral
UACGGGGGGGGUAAGCGUUGUUCGGAAUUACUGGGCGUAAAGGGCUCGUAGGCGGCCAACUAAGUCAGACGUGAAAUCCCUCAGCUUAACUGGGGAACUGCGUCUGAUACUGGAUGGCUUGGAUUCGGGAGAGGAAUGCAGAAUUCCAGGUGUAGCGGUGAAAUGCGUAGAUAUCUGGAGGAAUACCGGUGGCGAAGGCGGCAUCCUGGACCGGCAUUGACGCUGAGGAGCGAAAGCCAGGGGAGCAAACGGG